GGGUUGUGAGGUUAAGCGACUAAGCGUACACGGUGGAUGCCUAGGCAGUCAGAGGCGAUGAAGGGCGUGCUAAUCUGCGAUAAGCGUCGGUAAGCUGAUAUGAAGCGUUAUACCCGACGAUACCCGAAUGGGGAAACCCAGUGUGUUUCGACACACUAUCAUGACAUGAAUACAUAGUGUCAUGAGGCGAACCGGGGGAACUGAAACAUCUCAGUACCCCGAGGAAAAGAAAUCAACCGAGAUUCCCCCAGUAGCGGCGAGCGAACGGGGAGGAGCCCAGAACCUGAAUCAGUUUGUGUGUUAGUGGAAGCGUCUGGAAAGUCGCACAGUAAAGGGUGAUAGUCCCGUACACAAAAAUGCACAAGUUGUGAGUUCGAUGAGUAGGGCGGGACACGUGACAUCCUGUCUGAAUAUGGGGGGACCAUCCUCCAAGGCUAAAUACUCCUGACUGACCGAUAGUGAACCAGUACCGUGAGGGAAAGGCGAAAAGAACCCCGGCGAGGGGAGUGAAAUAGAACCUGAAACCGUGUACGUACAAGCAGUGGGAGCCUACUUGUUAGGUGACUGCGUACCUUUUGUAUAAUGGGUCAGCGACUUAUAUUCUGUAGCAAGGUUAACCGUAUAGGGGAGCCGCAGGGAAACCGAGUCUUAACUGGGCGUUAAGUUGCAGGGUAUAGACCCGAAACCCGGUGAUCUAGCCAUGGGCAGGUUGAAGGUUGGGUAACACUAACUGGAGGACCGAACCGACUAAUGUUGAAAAAUUAGCGGAUGACUUGUGGCUGGGGGUGAAAGGCCAAUCAAACCGGGAGAUAGCUGGUUCUCCCCGAAAGCUAUUUAGGUAGCGCCUCGUGAAUUCAUCUUCGGGGGUAGAGCACUGUUUCGGCUAGGGGGUCAUCCCGACUUACCAACCCGAUGCAAACUACGAAUACCGAAGAAUGUUAUCACGGGAGACACACGGCGGGUGCUAACGUUCGUCGUGAAGAGGGAAACAACCCAGACCGCCAGCUAAGGUCCCAAAGUCAUGGUUAAGUGGGAAACGAUGUGGGAAGGCACAGACAGCCAGGAUGUUGGCUUAGAAGCAGCCAUCAUUUAAAGAAAGCGUAAUAGCUCACUGGUCGAGUCGGCCUGCGCGGAAGAUGUAACGGGGCUAAACCAUGCACCGAAGCUGCGGCAGCGACACUUAGGUGUUGUUGGGUAGGGGAGCGUUCUGUAAGCCUGCGAAGGUGGCCUGUGAGGGCUGCUGGAGGUAUCAGAAGUGCGAAUGCUGACAUAAGUAACGAUAAUGCGGGUGAAAAACCCGCACGCCGGAAGACCAAGGGUUCCUGUCCAACGUUAAUCGGGGCAGGGUGAGUCGACCCCUAAGGCGAGGCUGAAAAGCGUAGUCGAUGGGAAACAGGUUAAUAUUCCUGUACUCGGUGUUACUGCGAAGGGGGGACGGAGAAAGCUAGGUUAUCCGGGCGACGGUUGUCCCGGUUUAAGCGUGAAGGUGGGUGACUUUGGUAAAUCCGGGUCAUCGUUAACACUGAGGCGUGAUGACGAGUCACUACGGUGAUGAAGUAACCGAUGCUACGCUUCCAGGAAAAGCCUCUAAGCUCCAGGUAACAUCAAAUCGUACCCCAAACCGACACAGGUGGUCAGGUAGAGAAUACUCAGGCGCUUGAGAGAACUCGGGUGAAGGAACUAGGCAAAAUGGUGCCGUAACUUCGGGAGAAGGCACGCUGAUGGUAGGUGAAGUGACUUGCUCAUGGAGCUGAAAUCAGUCGAAGAUACCAGCUGGCUGCAACUGUUUAAUAAAAACACAGCACUGUGCAAACACGAAAGUGGACGUAUACGGUGUGACGCCUGCCCGGUGCCGGAAGGUUAAUUGAUGGGGUCAGCCGCAAGGCGAAGCUCUUGAUCGAAGCCCCGGUAAACGGCGGCCGUAACUAUAACGGUCCUAAGGUAGCGAAAUUCCUUGUCGGGUAAGUUCCGACCUGCACGAAUGGCGUAAUGAUGGCCAGGCUGUCUCCACCCGAGACUCAGUGAAAUUGAACUCGCUGUGAAGAUGCAGUGUACCCGCGGCAAGACGGAAAGACCCCGUGAACCUUUACUAUAGCUUGACACUGAACCUUGAGCCUUGAUGUGUAGGAUAGGUGGGAGGCUUUGAAGCGUGGACGCCAGUCUGCGUGGAGCCAACCUUGAAAUACCACCCUUUAAUGUUUGAUGUUCUAACGUGGACCCGUAAUCCGGGUUGCGGACAGUGUCUGGUGGGUAGUUUGACUGGGGCGGUCUCCUCCCAAAGCGUAACGGAGGAGCACGAAGGUUAGCUAAUCCUGGUCGGACAUCAGGAGGUUAGUGCAAAGGCAUAAGCUAGCUUGACUGCGAGAGUGACAGCUCGAGCAGGUGCGAAAGCAGGUCUUAGUGAUCCGGUGGUUCUGAAUGGAAGGGCCAUCGCUCAACGGAUAAAAGGUACUCCGGGGAUAACAGGCUGAUACCGCCCAAGAGUUCAUAUCGACGGCGGUGUUUGGCACCUCGAUGUCGGCUCAUCACAUCCUGGGGCUGAAGUAGGUCCCAAGGGUAUGGCUGUUCGCCAUUUAAAGUGGUACGCGAGCUGGGUUUAGAACGUCGUGAGACAGUUCGGUCCCUAUCUGCCGUGGGCGUUGGAAGAUUGAGAGGGGUUGCUCCUAGUACGAGAGGACCGGAGUGAACGCACCACUGGUGUACGGGUUGUGAUGCCAAUUGCAUUGCCCGGUAGCUAAGUGCGGAAGAGAUAACCGCUGAAAGCAUCUAAGCGGGAAACUUGCCUCGAGAUGAGUCUUCCCUGGGCACUUGAUGCCCCUGAAGGGCCGUUGAAGACGACGACGUAGAUAGGCUGGGUGUGUAAGCGUAGCGAUACGUUGAGCUAACCAGUACUAAUGACCCGAGAGGCUUAACCUUACAACACCGAAGGUGUUU
RNAcentral lists this ribosomal RNA (2934 nucleotides) under Pectobacterium brasiliense. Its description in RNAcentral is "bacterial LSU rRNA". It matches the Rfam family "Bacterial large subunit ribosomal RNA". The record is from RNAcentral. Lineage: Bacteria; Pseudomonadati; Pseudomonadota; Gammaproteobacteria; Enterobacterales; Pectobacteriaceae.